GUAAGGGUUUCAGACUUAGAUUAUCCUGGAUUGGGGAAACAGAGGUUUCUGGGGGUUCAGGGAGAGACAAGUGAACCUACCUGGGAGAGUUAAAUUCCAUCAGACUGAGUAGGGUGGUGGGAUGGGAUUGCAACUUCUACACGGUGUGGGAUCCACUCCCACCCAGAGCUCUGGGGGUGACUUAGGACCUGAUGGAUGCCCCUAUGGAGACUGGAUCUCUAGCACUGUAGUCUGGAGAACUGCCUCCGGCCAAUGGAUUUCUGUGGCAACAGUCUUGGAUCCCGCCCAGAACACUGUUGCUUGGAAUGACAUCUGGAAAUCCGACAAGCAUCUUUUAACCCAGAAGGUUACUAAAGAUUGCUGUGCAGAAAUACAGGAAGUUGGGCUUUUCUGGUGGCACAACGGAUGGAAGUCUGCCUGCUGAUGCAGGGGACAUGGGUUCGAUCCUUGGUCCAGGAGGAUUCCACAAGCCAAGGAGCAACUAUGCCCAUGAGCCUUUGCUCUAGAGCCCUCGAGCCACAACUACAGGACCCAUGUGCUGGAACAUGAAGCUUAUGUGUUGCAGCUACUGAAGCCUGCAUGGCUAGAGCCUGUGCUCCACAGCAAGGGAAACCAUCACGAUGAGAAGCCCAUGCACAGCCACAAAGAGUAGCCCCCACUCACCACAGCUAGAGAAAGCCUGCACCCAGCAAUGAAGACCCAGUGCAACCAAAAA
This is a long non-coding RNA of Bos taurus (domestic cattle), 715 nucleotides long. The record is from Ensembl. NCBI's taxonomy places the organism in Eukaryota, Metazoa, Chordata, Mammalia, Artiodactyla, Bovidae.